AAACCAACAGGGAUUGCCUUAGUAACGGCGAGUGAAGCGGCAAAAGCUCAAAUUUGAAAUCUGGCACCUUCGGUGUCCGAGUUGUAAUUUGAAGAAGGUAACUUUGGAGUUGGCUCUUGUCUAUGUUCCUUGGAACAGGACGUCACAGAGGGUGAGAAUCCCGUGCGAUGAGAUGCCCAAUUCUAUGUAAAGUGCUUUCGAAGAGUCGAGUUGUUUGGGAAUGCAGCUCUAAGUGGGUGGUAAAUUCCAUCUAAAGCUAAAUAUUGGCGAGAGACCGAUAGCGAACAAGUACAGUGAUGGAAAGAUGAAAAGAACUUUGAAAAGAGAGUGAAAAAGUACGUGAAAUUGUUGAAAGGGAAGGGCUUGAGAUCAGACUUGGUAUUUUGCGAUCCUUUCCUUUUUGGUUGGGUUCUCCGCAGCUUACUGGGCCAGCAUCGGUUUGGACGGUAGGAUAAUGAUUAAGGAAUGUGG
RNAcentral lists this ribosomal RNA (471 nucleotides) under Debaryomyces maramus. RNAcentral's name for it is "eukaryotic LSU rRNA". It matches the Rfam family "Eukaryotic large subunit ribosomal RNA", at positions 62 to 538 of the family's 3401-position model. The record is from RNAcentral. Lineage: Eukaryota; Fungi; Ascomycota; Pichiomycetes; Serinales; Debaryomycetaceae.